RNAcentral lists this long non-coding RNA (3454 nucleotides) under Piliocolobus tephrosceles (Ugandan red Colobus). RNAcentral's name for it is "lncRNA (ENSPTEG00000010300.1)". The record is from RNAcentral. Lineage: Eukaryota; Metazoa; Chordata; Mammalia; Primates; Cercopithecidae.
UUUUUUUUUUUUUUUUUUUUUGUCUUUUUAAAUUUAUAAAUUUAUAAACAUAUAGCAACAACGUUUAACCACCUAACAGCGAUUUUAAUAUUUUCGAGUAUAGUAAAUUUUUAUAACUUUGUAUGAACGGCACGAACUUAUAGAUAUACAAUUGCACAAACAUACAGACAUACGAAUGUAAAAACUAUGAGCAAAUUAAAUGAUGGAAAAAAAAACAGCUGCGUUAUCAAACAAUCGAGUGUAUUAUAAAGAAAAAGAAACUGCUUUAACAAAAUUAAAAAGUAUUUUGUUAGAGUUAAAUAUAUUAAUUGAUCGGACUAAACUUAUAAAUUGUAUGGAUGAUGAUUUUGUUUUUAGUUUAAUUAAUAACGUGAAUGAUGGGAUUGUUAAAAAAAUACAUGAUUUAUUAAUAGAUAAAAAAAGUAAUGUCAUACCGGAAGACGAAUUAAAAGAUUUCGUAUUUUUAUUAAUGUAUGACAGACAAAACAAAUGUGAAUAUAAUUCAGUUGUCAGCAGAAAUGACAUACCUGACCCCAAUAGAUUAAACAUUUACAACGAUACUGCUACUGAUAGUAUUACCACAGAUAACACUGCCACCACUACUACAAAUGGUGCUGUUAGCUGUGUCUAUACAAAGAAUGAUGACGACGACUGUCCAAUCAAAAAUGAAGUCACAAACAUUAUUAACAAAAUAAACAAAUUUUAUUAUUAUAUAAAAUUUUUUAAAUUUGAAAAAAAAAGUAAUCAAACAAACGAAUAUCAUACUAAUUUUGAGAAAUCAAUUCGUACCAUACUGGAUAAUACCAUCAAAAUCCAAAUAAAUGAAAACAAAAAAAGCAAUUUAAAAAAAUCUAAUACAUAUACCAAUUAUUUUAGUGAUAAUAAACAAUAUUUUGAUAAAAAUAGCAGUUUAACAGUUAAUAAAAUAAACAGCACUUCUUAUACUCAUAUGGACGAUAAAAAGGAGUUUUCUAAUAAUUUGAAUGACAAUACACAUAAUGAUAUUAUAGAAACUAAAUGUUCAGCUAGCCAAAACGAUACAUAUAAUACAUCAGUAAAUUUGUUUGAUAAUUUAUCAGAUUCUAAGAAUAUAAAUCAAAAAUGUAUGAUAGAAAAUUCGGGAAGUAACGUCGUUAGUCAGUUGCAUAAUCAGAUGGAACAUACAACAGCAGAAUAUAUUAACAAAUAUAUAGGAAUAGAUAUAAAAAGAAGUGAAAAUAAUUAUACUCAUGAUUACUUUCAACCAAGUACAAUUGAUAAAAAAAAAACGAAAUCUUUUUAUAAUUAUAAUGAAAGCGAUAAAGGUAGCGACGAUGGUAAUAACUAUAAGAAAGAUGAGAACAGCGAUAUGGAUAUAAAAAUUUCUGAUAGUUAUUUUAAUGAAAACCAAUCGUUUAUUAAUCCAGGCUUUUCUACUGUAGAAAGUUAUACAUCCUUAUUAACUAGCAAUGGAUCAGAAAUACAAUCAAAAAAUACUUUUAUUUUAACUAAAAAUAAACAAAAUUGCGAUUUGUUAGUUAUGGAUACUGAUGACAUCCAAAACAAUAGUCAAUUGAAUUAUGAUUCGAACAAUUAUAAAAAAGAGGAAAAAAUAAAUGAACAAGAAAUAGGAACAUAUUACAAAAAAAGUAGUAGUGAUAGUUUUAUUCGUGGAUAUGUAGAUAAUAAGACUGUCACAAAUGAAUCUGCUGUAUAUAUGAAUAAUAACAACCACAGCUGUGGCUACGAAAACUACGAAGAUGAUGAUGACCAUGUAAACAAUGUCAAUCAUAGUGAAGAUCAAAAAAAAAAUGAAAAAAAAAUGAAUCACAACAGUAUGAACGAUUCAGGUAAUUCUGAACAGAAUUCUUUUAUAAAAUAUAUUGAACAUUUUAACCUAUCACAAAGAGUAUUAAAUGGUGUAGAUAAAGGCUUGUCUGAUGAUGUAUACCAUGACAAACCUAAAGACAUAAAUGAUGAAAGACACACUUUGACAUAUAAACAGAAUUUGAACAAUUUAACAAAUACUGAUAAAAUUUUUAUUAAUAAUUCAAUGAAUGAUUAUGAAAAAUAUUCUGAACGGUCAGCUAAAAAUAAUAAUAAUUAUGUUACCAGUCAUAAUAAAUCAAUUGAUUACGAAAAAUAUAGUAAAGAGAAGGAACAAUGUAAAAUAUCUUUAAAUGAGCAAAGUGUUAUAAAUGAUAAAACUAGUAAGAUAAAUAAAGGCAAAUCGUUAAAUAUAAAAAAAGAAAUAAAUCAUAGUAACAUGAUGGAUAAUAAUAUGCACAAUAUGGAAAAAAUAAAUGACAAUUAUUACAAACGCGACCAUAUGCACGAGUAUAAUAAUUAUGACUAUGGUACAUUCCAAGAUAAAAAAUUGCAAACUGAUAUGGAUAAACAAAUAAAUAUGCACGAUACUAGUAUGAGCAUAUGUGAAAGCACCAACUAUUACAGUUACAAAAAUAAAAAUAUACUAGACCAAAGCAACAAUAACAGUUAUAAUACAAGUAAAAAUGACAUUCAUAAUUUAGAUACACAAAAGUAUGAACACGAUGAUAUGUAUAUCAAUACAAAUGAUCAGUUUAUUUCUGCAAAUCUUGGUAACAAAGUAAGACAAAGUUAUGGAGACUCUUCUAUGUUUAGUCAUAUGAACUUGUCUGACAAUGCAUACGUAUCAAACAAGACAGAUGCAUUAAGUAGAACUGACCAUCUUAUGUUUCAUAACAACCAAAGUGAUUCCAGUUAUAGCCAUAAUGGUUAUGAACCCAUACCAUGUGCAGGUGAUUCUCAUAAUUUUAGCAAAAGUGGUCAAAAACAAAUAUAUUCAGAUGCAAAACAAAAAGAGAGGGAAACAUAUAUAAACAAAAAAUCAAGCAUAAUAAAACUUGAUUUAUACUUAGAUCAAGAGAAAUACUACACUUCUUUUAAUAAAAUCGAAGAAAAUAUAAAUUUGAAUAAUAAGAAAAAUUAUAUAAACGCAAAUAGUACGACUGGCACCCAAUUGGAAAGAAAUGAUAACAAUAAUUACUUUUUUAGUUUGAAUAAACAAACGGGGGGAAAUGUUAACAUAUUUAAUAAUGGUGGUGGUGGUGGUAGUGAUGGUGAUGGUGGUGAUGGUGGUGGUGGUGGUAGUGAUGGUAGUGAUGGUGGUGGUGGUGGUAGUGGUGGUAGUGAUGGUGGUGAUGGUGAUGGUGAUGGUGAUGGUGAUGGUGGUAGUAAUAAUAAUAUUAACAAGUAUAGUAAAGAAAAUAUUACAGGUAGUAACAUACAAAAGACGAAUGUUCAAGAUACGCUUAUUAAACAUAUAAAUGACGAUUUUACAUUUUAUGAAAAUGUAGCUAAUACUAUCAACGACAACAAAAACAACAAAUCGGAUAGUCUUAUGAAUGAUAAUUUUUUGAAUAAAAAUAAUUUUUUUGUGUUGAAAAAAAAAAAAGAAAAAGAUAACAGGUUAAACAAAUGGCUAAACAAAAUA